AACCUCCGCAAUGUGAGAAAUCGCGACGGGGGGAUCCCAAGUGCCAUUCUUAACGGGAUGGCUUUUCAUUAGUGUAAAGAGCUUUUGGAAUAAGAGCUGGGCAAGACCGGUGCCAGCCGCCGCGGUAACACCGGCAGCUCUAGUGGUAACAAUUUUUAUUGGGCCUAAAGCGUUCGUAGCCGGUUUGAUAAGUCACUGGUGAAAUCCUGUAGCUUAACUGUGGGAAUUGCUGGUGAUACUGUUGAACUUGAGGUCGGGAGAGGUUAGCGGUACUCCCAGGGUAGAGGUGAAAUUCUGUAAUCCUGGGAGGACCACCUGUGGCGAAGGCGGCUAACUGGAACGAACCUGACGGUGAGGGACGAAAGCUAGGGGCGCGAACCGGAUUAGAUACCCGGGUAGUCCUAGCCGUAAACGAUGCGGACUUGGUGUUGGGAUGGCUUUGAGCCGCUCCGGUGCCGAAGGGAAGCUGUUAAGUCCGCCGCCUGGGAAGUACGGUCGCAAGACUAAAACUUAAAGGAAUU
Molecule: ribosomal RNA, 521 nt
Filed under: uncultured bacterium
Lineage: Bacteria
Description: bacterial SSU rRNA
Rfam family: Archaeal small subunit ribosomal RNA
Source: RNAcentral